This 301-nucleotide ribosomal RNA is filed under the name uncultured bacterium. RNAcentral's name for it is "partial 16S ribosomal RNA". It matches the Rfam family "Bacterial small subunit ribosomal RNA", at positions 509 to 807 of the family's 1533-position model. The record is from RNAcentral.
CAGCAGCCGCGGGAAUACGAGGGGGGCAAGCGUUGUUCGGAAUUAUUGGGCGUAAAGGGUGCGUAGGCGGUUAUAUAAGACAGAUGUGAAAUCCCCGGGCUCAACCUGGGACCUGCAUUUGUGACUGUAUAGCUAGAGUACGGUAGAGGGGGAUGGAAUUCCGCGUGUAGCAGUGAAAUGCGUAGAUAUGCGGAGGAACACCGAUGGCGAAGGCAAUCCCCUGGACCUGUACUGACGCUCAUGCACGAAAGCGUGGGGAGCAAACAGGAUUAGAUACCCCAGUAGUCCCUGUCUCUUAUAC